CCUACGGGUGGCAGCAGUGAGGAAUAUUGGUCAAUGGACGCAAGUCUGAACCAGCCAUGCCGCGUGCAGGAAGACGGCUCUAUGAGUUGUAAACUGCUUUUGUACGAGGGUAAACGCAGAUACGCGUAUCUGUCUGAAAGUAUCGUACGAAUAAGGAUCGGCUAACUCCGUGCCAGCAGCCGCGGUAAUACGGAGGAUUCAAGCGUUAUCCGGAUUUAUUGGGUUUAAAGGGUGCGUAGGCGGUCGGAUAAGUUAGAGGUGAAAUCCCGAGGCUCAACUUCGGAAUUGCCUCUGAUACUGGUCGGCUAGAGAGUAGUUGCGGUAGGCGGAAUGUAUGGUGUAGCGGUGAAAUGCUUAGAGAUCAUACAGAACACCGAUUGCGAAGGCAGCUUACGAAGCUAAUACUGACGUUGAGGCACGAAAGCGUGGGGAGCGAACAGGAUUAGAUACCCGAGUAGUC
This 460-nucleotide ribosomal RNA is filed under the name uncultured bacterium. RNAcentral describes it as "partial 16S ribosomal RNA". It matches the Rfam family "Bacterial small subunit ribosomal RNA", at positions 338 to 795 of the family's 1533-position model. The record is from RNAcentral.